RNAcentral lists this ribosomal RNA (395 nucleotides) under uncultured bacterium. RNAcentral describes it as "bacterial SSU rRNA". It matches the Rfam family "Bacterial small subunit ribosomal RNA", at positions 29 to 429 of the family's 1533-position model. The record is from RNAcentral.
AUUGAACGCUGGCGGAAUGCUUUACACAUGCAAGUCGAACGGCAGCACGGGGCAACCUGGUGGCGAGUGGCGAACGGGUGAGUAAUACAUCGGAACGUGCCCAGUCGUGGGGGAUAACGUAGCGAAAGCUACGCUAAUACCGCAUACGCCCCAAGGGGGAAAGCGGGGGAUCUUCGGACCUCGUGCUAUAGGAGGAGCCUGCGUCGGAUUAGCUAGUUGGUGAGGUAAAGGCUCACCAAGGCGACGAUCCGUAGCUGGUCUGAGAGGAUGAUCAGCCACACCGGAACUGAGACACGGUCCGGACUCCUACGGGAGGCAGCAGUGGGGAAUAUUGCGCAAUGGGCGAAAGCCUGACGCAGCCAUACCGCGUGUGUGAAGAAGGCCUCGGUUGUAAG